UGCUUGACUGGAGGGCGGCAGAGGAGCGUGGAAUUCCGGGUGGAGUGGUGAAAUGCGUAGAGAUCCGGAGGAACACCAGAGGCGAAAGCGGGGCUCUGGGCCGCACCUGACGCUGAACUGCGAAAGCCAGGGUAGCGAACGGGAUUAGAAACCCCGGUAGUCCUGGCCGUAAACGAUGUCAACUGGGCGUUGGUAUGGAAGCAUAUCAGCGCCGGAGCGAACGCGCUAAGUUGACCGCCUGGGGAGUACGACCGCAAGGUUAAAACUCAAAGGAAUUGACGGGGGCCCGCACAAGCAGCGGAGCGUGUGGUUUAAUUCGAGGCAACGCGAAGAACCUUACCCGGGUUUGACAUGCAUCUGGUAGCGAACGGAAACGGGAGCGACCCGCAAGGGAGGAUGCACAGGUGCUGCAUGGCUGCCGUCAGCUCGUGCCGUGAGGUGUUAGGUUAAGUCCUGUAACGAGCGCAACCCUUACUGCCAGUUACAAGUGUCUGGCGGGACUGCCGGUGUGAAACCGGAGGAAGGUGGGGAUGACGUCAAGUCAGCAUGGCCUUUAUAUCCGGGGCGACACACACGCUACAAUGGGUGGCACAGAGGGAAGCCAAACCGCGAGGUGGAGCGAAUCUCACAAAGUCAUCCGUAGUUCGGAUUGCAGGCUGCAACUCGCCUGCAUGAAGCUGGAGUUGCUAGUAACCGCGCAUCAGCCACGGUGCGGUGAAUACGUUCCCGGGCCUUGUACACACCGCCCGU
Molecule: ribosomal RNA, 750 nt
Filed under: uncultured bacterium
Lineage: Bacteria
Description: bacterial SSU rRNA
Rfam family: Bacterial small subunit ribosomal RNA
Source: RNAcentral